Molecule: long non-coding RNA, 1445 nt
Organism: Magallana angulata
Lineage: Eukaryota; Metazoa; Mollusca; Bivalvia; Ostreida; Ostreidae
Exons: 7
Source: RefSeq, a predicted model, not a curated record
UAUCAGUACAUGAGUACCUGGGGUUUUUCUACACCAGCUUUGCUUUAUGAGAGUACUAUUACUAUUCCUCCGCCUUGAGUGGACUGAGGGCUGAGGGUGACAGCCCAACACAGGACUGAGGGGGGCAGUUCCUGUGGAGUUCUUCAUGGGGGAUAUACACAUGCAUGGUGCUGAUUGGAUAGAGAUAAUUAUGAUUGAACCCACCGUGAUGAUUUUGUUCUUCUAAGAGAGAUGCCAGUUAACCAUGGCACUUCAUCCUAGAACAGUACUCUAUGAAGUGUACACCUGGUGCUGAGAUUGGUACAACACAUGCAGUUGUUGGCUGUAUAUGUUUUAGAAGGAAUACUAUCCUAAUGCAGGAAUAGACUGUUGGGCAUUGAGGUUGCACUAUUCCUCAUGUAGGUAUAGACUGUUAGGCAUAGACUGUUAGGCAUGGAGGUUGCAGUAUUCUUGAUUUCUCUCCUUGGAAAUACACCAGAUGCUGACAUCAGACAGGAUCUCGUUGACCAUAUUACAAUUUGCAUGAAGAGUAGAGACGGGCAUCUUUCUAUUGUGGGAACAGUAUCAUUAUUCCUCCGCCUUGAGUGGACUGAGGGCUGAGGGUGGCAGCCCAGCACAGGACUGAGGGGGCAGUUCCUGUGGAGUUCUUCAUGGGGGAUACACAUGGUGCUGAUUGGAUGCAGACUUUGUUGGCCGAUAGAUUUCGGAUCACCUCGGAAUCCAUGUACAGUGUACCUUGUGACAAAUUUUCCUGGUUAUUGGUUUGACAUAGUUUUUGGGCAGCAUCAGUAUUGGCAGGAUUUCUAUUCCUUAAAUCUGACUGCAUCGAUGAUGGAAGUUUGGUUUCAUUUCUUCAAUUGCUGAGAUCGGCUAUUGGAAAUAUUGGACCAUAUUAUUCAUUGGAUCAGUGGGGUUUCUUUCCAGUAGCCUAGCUUUACAAAAGCACUAUUAUUAUUCCUCCACCUUGAGUGGACUAUGGGCUGAAGGUGGCGGCCCAGCACAGGACUGAGGGGGGCAGUUCCUGUGGAGUUCUUCAUGGGGGAUACACAUGGUGCUAAUUGGAUAGAGAUUACGGAUCACCUCAAAAUCCAAGUAAAUGACCUAGUGAAGACUAUUCCUGGUUCUGUGGUAACUGAUAUGACACAGUUGUAUGGCAGUAUGCAUAUCAGCAGGAUUUUGACUGUACUGAUGAUGGCAGUUUAUUUUCAGUUCUUCAGUGGAUAUAUAUGCUUCAGUUGAGAUCAGGAAGGUGAAAAAUUCAGUGAAACAUUGCUUGAAACAUUGUACAAAGGAUUUAAAAGAAAAGAUAGCCUUGCUUUAUGAGAGCACUAUUACUAUUCCUCUGCCUUGAGUGGACUGAGGGCUGAGGUUGGCAGCCUAACACAGGACUGAGGGGGGCAGUUCCUAUGGAGUUCUUCAUGGGGGAUACACAUGGUGCUGAUUGG